Molecule: long non-coding RNA, 332 nt
Filed under: Chloebia gouldiae (Gouldian finch)
Lineage: Eukaryota; Metazoa; Chordata; Aves; Passeriformes; Passeridae
Description: Erythrura gouldiae (Gouldian finch) lncRNA (ENSEGOG00005010308.1)
Source: RNAcentral
AAGGAAGAAGCCCUGGAAUUCUGCAGGAUGGGUGUUUAGGCAGCCCUGGGCACAAAUCAGCAUUUUUCUACAAACGAGUGCAGCCCCUCAAGCACCUGCAGAGAAAUAGAAACAGGAUCCAUAGCAGAGUUAUCUGGGGAGUUCCAUUCUGGGAAGACACAGCAGUGUCCCAGCCUGGCAGUCACUGGUGAGACCACAGGGGCAGUGAGGGGAAAGCCACAUCCAUGGACACAAAGGGGACCUUCCAUGCAGAGCAGCUCCUGGCCAUGGCUGAAAGGUCAGUGAGUGGGAGACAGGAGCAGAUGGACUCACAGCUCAGCUGGAAAAUGUUU